GAUGAAGAACGUAGCGAAAUGCGAUAAGUAAUGUGAAUUGCAGAAUUCAGUGAAUCAUCGAAUCUUUGAACGCACAUUGCGCCCGCCAGUAUUCUGGCGGGCAUGCCUGUUCGAGCGUCAUUUCAACCAUCAAGCCCCCGGCCUGUGUUGGGGACCUGCGGCUGCCGCAGGCCCUGAAAACCAGUGGCGGGCUCGCUAGUCACUCCGAGCGUAGUAAUACAUCUCGCUCAGGGCGUGCUGCGGGUUCCGGCCGUUAAAAAGCCUUAUUUACCCAAGGUUGACCUCGGAUCAGGUAGGAAGACCCGCUGAACUUAAGCAUAUCAAUAAGCGGAGGA
RNAcentral lists this unclassified non-coding RNA (335 nucleotides) under soil metagenome. RNAcentral describes it as "partial contains 5.8S ribosomal RNA, internal transcribed spacer 2, and large subunit ribosomal RNA". The stretch from base 1 to 120 matches the Rfam family "5.8S ribosomal RNA", at positions 35 to 154 of the family's 154-position model. The record is from RNAcentral.